UAGGGAAUCUUCCGCAAUGGGCGAAAGCCUGACGGAGCAACGCCGCGUGAGUGAUGAAGGUCUUCGGAUCGUAAAACUCUGUUAUUAGGGAAGAACAAAUGUGUAAGUAACUAUGCACGUAUUGACGGUACCUAAUCAGAAAGCCACGGCUAACUACGUGCCAGCAGCCGCGGUAAUACGUAGGUGGCAAGCGUUAUCCGGAAUUAUUGGGCGUAAAGCGCGCGUAGGCGGUUUUUUAAGUCUGAUGUGAAAGCCCACGGCUCAACCGUGGAGGGUCAUUGGAAACUGGAAAACUUGAGUGCAGAAGAGGAAAGUGGAAUUCCAUGUGUAGCGGUGAAAUGCGCAGAGAUAUGGAGGAACACCAGUGGCGAAGGCGACUUUCUGGUCUGUAACUGACGCUGAUGUGCGAAAGCGUGGGAAUCAAACAGG
Molecule: ribosomal RNA, 429 nt
Filed under: Bacteroidota bacterium
Lineage: Bacteria; Pseudomonadati; Bacteroidota
Description: Bacteroidetes bacterium partial 16S ribosomal RNA
Rfam family: Bacterial small subunit ribosomal RNA
Source: RNAcentral